Molecule: transfer RNA, 71 nt
Organism: Ovis aries (sheep)
Lineage: Eukaryota; Metazoa; Chordata; Mammalia; Artiodactyla; Bovidae
Rfam family: tRNA
About the family: Transfer RNA (tRNA) molecules are approximately 80 nucleotides in length. Their secondary structure includes four short double-helical elements and three loops (D, anti-codon, and T loops).
Source: Rfam
UCCCCAGUGGCUCAGUGGUAAAGUAUCUGCCUGCAAUGCAGGAGACACAGGUUUGAUCCCUGGGUCAGGAA